GCACUCCCUAGCUACGUUGGGAGAGCAGCAAACGGCUCAGUAACAUGUAGUCAAUCUGCCCUUAGGAUGGGAAUAACCCUGGGAAACUGGGGCUAAUAUCCGAUAGAUGGAAGCGCCUGGAAUGGUCUUCCGUUGAAAGUUUUCGGGAACAUGCUUCCGAGAGCGCCUAAGGAUGAGACUGCAGCCGAUCAGGCUGUUGGUGAGGUAACGGCCCACCAAACCUAUAACCGGUACGGGCCCUGAGAGGGGAAGCCCGGAGAUGGGAACUGAGACAAGGUCCUAGGUCCUACGGGGCGCAGCAGGCGCGAAAACUUCGCAAUGCGCGAAAGCGCGACGAGGUUAUCCUGAGUGCCGUCUGAAAGGAUGGCUUUUCAUCGACGUAAACAGUCGGUGGAAUAAGGGGAGGGCAAGACUGGCGUCAGCCGCCGCGGUAAUACCAGCCCCCCGAGUGGUAGGGACAAUUAUUUGGCCUAGAGCGUUCGUAGCCUGCUCGGUAGGUCCUCCGUCAAAUCUGACGAUCCCAUCGUCAGACUGCGGGGGAUACCGCCGGGCUAGGAGGCGGGAGAGGUCGACGGUAGUCCAGGGGUAGGGGUGGAAUCCUAUAAUCCUUGGAGGACCACCAGUGGCGAAGGCGGUCGACCAGAACGCGCUCGACGGUGAGGGACGAAAGCUGGGGGAGCAAACCGGAUUAGAUACCCGGGUAGUCCCAGCUGUAAACGAUGCGAGCUAGGUGUUUGGAAGCGGCUACGGGGCCGCUCCAGUGCCUCAGGGAAGCCCUUAAGCUCGCCGCCUGGGGGGGUACGGUCGCAAGGCUGAAACUUAAAAGGAAUUGGCGGGGGGAGCACCACAAAGGCGUGAAGGCUGCGGUUUAA
This 872-nucleotide ribosomal RNA is filed under the name uncultured crenarchaeote. Its description in RNAcentral is "bacterial SSU rRNA". It matches the Rfam family "Archaeal small subunit ribosomal RNA", at positions 57 to 905 of the family's 1478-position model. The record is from RNAcentral. Lineage: Archaea; Thermoproteati; Thermoproteota.